CAUCACGAGGUAGCAAUACUUUGGUGGCGACCGGCGCACGGGUGCGUAACGCGUAUGUAACCUACCUAUAACAGGGGCAUAACACUGAGAAAUUGGUACUAAUUCCCCAUAAUAUUCGGAGAGGCAUCUCUCCGGGUUGAAAACUCCGGUGGUUAUAGAUGGACAUGCGUUGCAUUAGCUAGUUGGUGAGGUAACGGCUCACCAAGGCAACGAUACAUAGGGGGACUGAGAGGUUAACCCCCCCACACUGGUACUGAGACACGGACCAGACUCCUACGGGAGGCAGCAGUGAGGAAUAUUGGUCAAUGGACGCAAGUCUGAACCAGCCAUGCCGCGUGCAGGAAGACGGCUCUAUGAGUUGUAAACUGCUUUUGUACGAGGGUAAACUCACCUACGUGUAGGUGACUGAAAGUAUCGUACGAAUAAGGAUCGGCUAACUCCGUGCCAGCAGCCGCGGUAAUACGGAGGAUUCAAGCGUUAUCCGGAUUUAUUGGGUUUAAAGGGUGCGUAGGCGGUUUGAUAAGUUAGAGGUGAAAUCCCGGGGCUUAACUCCGGAACUGCCUCUAAUACUGUUAGACUAGAGAGUAGUUGCGGUAGGCGGAAUGUAUGGUGUAGCGGUGAAAUGCUUAGAGAUC
This 635-nucleotide ribosomal RNA is filed under the name uncultured Bacteroidales bacterium. RNAcentral describes it as "bacterial SSU rRNA". It matches the Rfam family "Bacterial small subunit ribosomal RNA", at positions 70 to 698 of the family's 1533-position model. The record is from RNAcentral. Lineage: Bacteria; Pseudomonadati; Bacteroidota; Bacteroidia; Bacteroidales.